Molecule: unclassified non-coding RNA, 657 nt
Filed under: Athalia rosae (coleseed sawfly)
Lineage: Eukaryota; Metazoa; Arthropoda; Insecta; Hymenoptera; Athaliidae
Description: misc RNA ENSAEAG00005002787.1
Source: RNAcentral
UAAUUAAUUACCUGUAAGAAGCGGCUGAACUACACCGUUCUGCCGCGUGCGUCCCCACGACGUGUCCUCGUCAGCUGACAUUUUCUCCAAUUUCACUCAACAAACGAAAAUAAUUUAUAGAAUAACUUUACACUCCGUAUCUGUCGAUGCUAGGCGCAACUAACCCACACAGCAGCUAAAACCAAACUAACAUCGUUACUGAACACCAGCGAACUUAUACGUUGCUCAGUUUCCUACAAUCGAUAGGAACGUUUGAAGGACGUCUAGAGUACAUACUGCUUUUUACAGUUGCGCCAACUAAUCGAACGUCGCCAUUGAUAUCGCUAGUUUUGAAUAUUCUUCCGCUUUUACCGGAUAUAGAGUACCGACGACUCUAGUAAAUCCAGGAACACUGGAUGCUGCCGGGUGUUUGUUUUUGAGAGCGACGUUUUAUCGACCCCGCUUUUUCAAAUAAAGGGCCACCUUCCCACAGAAUCGCAUAACUCUAAUAUGACAAAGAAUGCCGAGGAAUAAAUGUGAAUCAAAAUGCAACGCUUAAUUGGUCGGCCAUUUUCCUUCACUACCUUCUUUGGACGAAUGUAUUACUCUUAUAAUUUAUGUUAGAAAUAUAGAUAAUUCCGAUUUUGAAUUGAAAAGUUGUCUGUUCAAUAAAUUCAU